GAUGGCGACCGGCGCACGGGUGAGUAACACGUAUCCAACCUCCCGCUUACUCAGGAAUAGCCUUUCGAAAGAAAGAUUAAUGCCUGAUGGUAUCUUAAGCACACAUGUAAUUAAGAUUAAAGAUUUAUCGGUAAGCGAUGGGGAUGCGUUCCAUUAGGUAGUAGGCGGGGUAACGGCCCACCUAGCCKACGAUGGAUAGGGGUUCUGAGAGGAAGGUCCCCCACAUUGGAACUGAGACACGGUCCAAACUCCUACGGGAGGCAGCAGUGAGGAAUAUUGGUCAAUGGGCGCGAGCCUGAACCAGCCAAGUAGCGUGAAGGAUGAAGGUCCUAUGGAUUGUAAACUUCUUUUAUACGGGAAUAAAGUGGUCCACGUGUGGGCYUUUGCAUGUACCGUAUGAAUAAGCAUCGGCUAACUCCGUGCCAGCAGCCGCGGUAAUACGGAGGAUGCGAGCGUUAUCCGGAUUUAUUGGGUUUAAAGGGAGCGCAGACGGGGGAUUAAGUCAGUUGUGAAAGUUUGCGGCUCAACCGUAAAAUUGCAGUUGAUACUGGUUCCCUUGAGUGCAGUUGAGGCAGGCGGAAUUCGUGGUGUAGCGGUGAAAUGCAUAGAUAUCACGAAGAACUCCGAUU
Molecule: ribosomal RNA, 629 nt
Filed under: uncultured Bacteroidales bacterium
Lineage: Bacteria; Pseudomonadati; Bacteroidota; Bacteroidia; Bacteroidales
Description: bacterial SSU rRNA
Rfam family: Bacterial small subunit ribosomal RNA
Source: RNAcentral